GGGGAUUUAGCUCAGCGGCAUAAGCGCCUGCCUUGAAAGCAGGCAGUCCUGAGUUAGAUCCCCA
This 64-nucleotide transfer RNA is filed under the name Cavia porcellus (domestic guinea pig). It matches the Rfam family "tRNA", at positions 1 to 62 of the family's 71-position model. Rfam says of the family: Transfer RNA (tRNA) molecules are approximately 80 nucleotides in length. Their secondary structure includes four short double-helical elements and three loops (D, anti-codon, and T loops). Further hydrogen bonds mediate the characteristic L-shaped molecular structure. tRNAs have two regions of fundamental functional importance: the anti-codon, which is responsible for specific mRNA codon recognition, and the 3' end, to which the tRNAs corresponding amino acid is attached (by aminoacyl-tRNA synthetases). tRNAs cope with the degeneracy of the genetic code in two manners: having more than one tRNA (with a specific anti-codon) for a particular amino acid; and 'wobble' base-pairing, i.e. permitting non-standard base-pairing at the 3rd anti-codon position. The record is from Rfam by way of RNAcentral. Lineage: Eukaryota; Metazoa; Chordata; Mammalia; Rodentia; Caviidae.